This 821-nucleotide ribosomal RNA is filed under the name Marasmius siccus. Its description in RNAcentral is "eukaryotic LSU rRNA". The stretch from base 264 to 417 matches the Rfam family "5.8S ribosomal RNA". The record is from RNAcentral. Lineage: Eukaryota; Fungi; Basidiomycota; Agaricomycetes; Agaricales; Marasmiaceae.
GAAGUAAAAGUCGUAACAAGGUUUCCGUAGGUGAACCUGCGGAAGGAUCAUUAUUGAAACAUUGUAAAGGAAGGUUGAGCUGGCUCUUCACGAGCAAGUGCUCACUUUUCUUUCAAUCUUCAUCCACCUGUGCACUUUUUGUAGAGAGUUUGAGAAAUGGGCUUAGGUCCAAAGUAUCGGGCUUUCUAUGUUUUACAAACUCUGAACGUAUGUCUUUGAAUGUCAUUUACAAGGUGCUUAAUUGAACCUUUUAAAAACUAUACAACUUUCAGCAACGGAUCUCUUGGCUCUCGCAUCGAUGAAGAACGCAGCGAAAUGCGAUAAGUAAUGUGAAUUGCAGAAUUCAGUGAAUCAUCGAAUCUUUGAACGCACCUUGCGCCUCUUGGUAUUCCGAGAGGCAUGCCUGUUUGAGCGUCAUUAAAUUCUCAACCUCAAAAGCUUUUUUGUUUCUGAGGCUUGGAUGUGGAGGCUUUGCGGGCUCUUUCAUUAGCAGUCAGCUCCUCUUAAAUGCAUUAGUGGAAACCGCUUGUAGUCCGCAUUGGUGUGAUAAUUAUCUGCGCUAUUGUUGGCUACAGCUCUGAGGUGUUCGUUUAGGAAAGUGCAUUAGUUUGCUCUUUCUGUUUACUUGACCCGCAGAGUUGGUAUCUGCUUCGAACCGUCCUAAGUUACUGGACAAUACUUGACUAUUUUGACCUCAAAUCAGGUAGGACUACCCGCUGAACUUAAGCAUAUCAAUAAGCGGAGGAAAAGAAACUAACAAGGAUUCCCCUAGUAACUGCGAGUGAAGAGGGAAAAGCUCAAAUUUAAAAUCUGGCAGCUUC